GACGAACGCUGGCGGCGUGCUUAACACAUGCAAGUCGAGCGGUAAGGCCCUUUCGGGGGUACACGAGCGGCGAACGGGUGAGUAACACGUGGGUGACCUGCCCUCAGCUCUGGGAUAAGCCUGGGAAACUGGGUCUAAUACCGGAUAUGACUCCAUGACGCAUGUUGUGGGGUGGAAAGCCUUGUGCGGCUGAGGAUGGGCCCGCGGCCUAUCAGCUUGUUGGUGGGGUGAUGGCCUACCAAGGCGACGACGGGUAGCCGGCCUGAGAGGGCGACCGGCCACACUGGGACUGAGACACGGCCCAGACUCCGUACGGGAGGCAGCAGUGGGGAAUCUUGCGCAAUGGGCGAAAGCCUGACGCAGCGACGCCGCGUGA
RNAcentral lists this ribosomal RNA (376 nucleotides) under uncultured bacterium. RNAcentral describes it as "bacterial SSU rRNA". It matches the Rfam family "Bacterial small subunit ribosomal RNA", at positions 28 to 404 of the family's 1533-position model. The record is from RNAcentral.